Molecule: ribosomal RNA, 419 nt
Filed under: Fusobacteriota bacterium
Lineage: Bacteria; Fusobacteriati; Fusobacteriota
Description: Fusobacteria bacterium partial 16S ribosomal RNA
Rfam family: Bacterial small subunit ribosomal RNA
Source: RNAcentral
UGGGGGAUAUUGCACAAUGGGCGAAAGCCUGAUGCAGCGACGCCGCGUGGGGGAUGAAGGCCUUCGGGUUGUAAACUUCUUUUGCUCUGAACAAGGCAUGCCUUUGGGGUGUGUUGAGUGUAGGGGUUGAUUAGCGCCGGCUAACUACGUGCCAGCAGCCGCGGUAAUACGUAGGGGGCUAGCGUUGUCCGGAAUCACUGGGCGUAAAGGGUUCGCAGGCGGAAAUGCAAGUCAGGUGUAAAAGGCAGUAGCUUAACUACUGUAAGCAUUUGAAACUGCAUAUCUUGAGAAGAGUAGAGGUAAGUGGAAUUUUUAGUGUGGCGGUGAAAUGCGUAGAUAUUAAAAAGAAUACCGGUGGCGAAGGCGACUUACUGGGCUCAUUCUGACGCUGAGGAACGAAAGCGUGGGUAGCAAACAGG